This 164-nucleotide small RNA is filed under the name uncultured Blautia sp. Its description in RNAcentral is "Ribosomal protein L10 leader". It matches the Rfam family "Ribosomal protein L10 leader", at positions 11 to 134 of the family's 138-position model. Rfam says of the family: This family is a putative r-protein leader autoregulatory structure found in B. subtilis and other low-GC Gram-positive bacteria. It is located in the 5' untranslated regions of mRNAs encoding ribosomal proteins L10 and L12 (rplJ-rplL). Lineage: Bacteria; Bacillati; Bacillota; Clostridia; Lachnospirales; Lachnospiraceae. The record is from RNAcentral.
AAUAGCUGCCGAAGACAGCAGGUGCCGUAAGGCAUAAGGUUCAAAACGCCUGCCGAGGAAGAGUUUUUUCUUAAAUCUGAGAUUCACAGCCGCAAGGUAUGGGAUUGAAGAAAUACAAGAUUGACUUAAACCUCUUUGUCUUUGACAAAGAGGUUUUCUUAAUU